AUGAAAGUAAAACUUUCUGUGAACGCAGCUGCUUCUCGCCGGGUGCGGUGGCGCGUGCCUGUAAUCCAAGCUACCGGGAGGCUGAGGUUGGAGGAUCGUUUGAGCUCAGGAGCUCUGAGCUGCAGCAGGCUAUGUCGAUCGGGUGUCCGCACUAAGUUCGGCAUUGAUAUGGUGAUCCUGGGGGAGCCCGGGACCACCAGGUCGUCUAAGGAGGGGUGCCCAGGUCGGAGACGGAGCAGGUCAAAGCCCCCGUGUCGCUCAGUAGUGGGAUCGCGCCUGUGAAUAGAUGCUGUAGCGCAGCCUGAGCAAUACAGCGAGACCCAAUCUUUAUACACACCCUUAUACCUGUCUCUACAUCACACAGCAGCCUCAUCAGUCCUUAUUUAUCUUUUUAAUUGACGUCAAAAACACUCACAAACCUGCUGCUCUGCUUGUCCUGCACCACCUCAACUUGCAACUACAUCCUCCACCCUAAACACUCCUGCCGCCCAGCAGGUGGAGACAAGCUCACUCACUCACUCACUCACUCAAUCAUAUAUAUAUAUAUCAGUCUGGUAUGGUGUCGACAUAAUGCCGCAAUCUGGCAGUCAUGCCUUCUUUUUGAGCAGUGGUUCCAUGGUCUUUGAAUCCAGCGAUCCGAGUUCAAAUCUCAGUGGGACCUGAGGUUUUUCUCCGCUGAUUGGAAUGUGAAACAUUAGCGCGUCUUCUCUGGCACACCAAAACUGUGCUAUAAUUGUGUGUUCAGUCACAGGUGUAUGAAAUCAAGCAGCAAACCUUGACCGCUCCCUUUACAAACACUUGCCAAUCACUAUGUGGUACUAAAGAGCUGUCUGAAAUUCAGUUGUACACCACACAAAGUUACAGAGUGGGGUGUCUGAGUGCUGAGGUGCGCUUGUGCGUAAAAGUCACAAACACUCCCCUGACUCACUAACUGCACAGCUGACUUCAAAGUCAGCACAGAAAGUGGGCGCCACCAGUAUGUGUUUCCAUGGCUCAACAGCUGCUAUAUGUGUUAUGUGGAGUAUAACGUUUGUGUCUUCCCAAGUAUCUCAGUUUGUAACUUCCACAAGGCUGAUUUGUUUACGUCAGGAUGGCCGAGCGGUCUAAGGCGCUGCGUUCAGGUCGCAGUCUCCUCUGGAGGCGUGGGUUCGAAUCCCACUUCUGACAUUGAAGCCUUGUUCUUCUUGAUAUUGUGACAACAUACACUUGAAAUUUGGUUUAACCGCGAGGUUUCUCAGAACUUGCUUAUGACAGUUGUGCACCGUUCAUCCCUGAACUUUACUGGAUUUUCGAAUGAUGUACACUGUAACAACAUUCUACAUAAUUCUAAUAAAAUUCAC
This 1340-nucleotide long non-coding RNA is filed under the name Oreochromis niloticus (Nile tilapia). RNAcentral describes it as "lncRNA (ENSONIG00000040757.1)". The stretch from base 38 to 330 matches the Rfam family "Metazoan signal recognition particle RNA". The record is from RNAcentral. Lineage: Eukaryota; Metazoa; Chordata; Actinopteri; Cichliformes; Cichlidae.